Molecule: ribosomal RNA, 498 nt
Filed under: uncultured bacterium
Lineage: Bacteria
Description: partial 16S ribosomal RNA
Rfam family: Bacterial small subunit ribosomal RNA
Source: RNAcentral
GAUGAACGCUGGCGGCGUGCCUAAUACAUGCAAGUCGAGCGAACAGACGAGAGUGCUUGCACUCUCUGACGUUAGCGGCGGACGGGUGAGUAACACGUGGGUAACCUACCUAUAAGACUGGGAUAACUUCGGGAAACCGGAGCUAAUACCGGAUAAUAUUUAGCUUCGCAUGAAGCAAUAGUGAAAGACGGUUCUGCUGUCACUUAUAGAUGGACCCGCGGUGUAUUAGCUAGUUGGUGAGGUAACGGCUCACCAAGGCAACGAUACAUAGCCGACCUGAGAGGGUGAUCGGCCACACUGGGACUGAGACACGGCCCAGACUCCUACGGGAGGCAGCAGUAGGGAAUCUUCCGCAAUGGACGAAAGUCUGACGGAGCAAUGCCGCGUGAGUGAAGAAGGUUUUCAGAUCGUAAAACUCUGUUGUAAGGGAAGAACAAGUACGUUAGUAACUGAACGUACCUUGACGGUACCUUACCAGAAAGCCACGGCUAACUACGU